CAGCCGCGGUAAUACGUAGGGUGCGAGCGUCGUCCGGAAUCACUGGGCGUAAAGAGCUCGUAGGUGGUUUGUUGCGUCGUCUGUGAAAUCCCGGGGCUUAACUUCGGGGUGGCAGGCGAUACGGGCAUAACUAGAGUGCUGUAGGGGAGACUGGAAUCCCUGGUGUAGCGGUGGAAUGCGCAGAUAUCAGGAGGAACACCGAUGGCGAAGGCAGGUCUCUGGGCAGUAACUGACGCUGAGGAGCGAAAGCAUGGGGAGCGAACAGGAUUAGAUACCCUGGUAGUCCAUGCUGUAAACGGUGGGCGUUAGGUGUGGGGACCGGUUUGGUUUCUGUGCCGUAGCUAACGCAUUAAGCGCCCCGCCUGGGGAGUACGGCCGCAAGGCUAAAACUCAAAGGAAUUGACGGGGGCCCGCACAAG
Molecule: ribosomal RNA, 419 nt
Filed under: uncultured bacterium
Lineage: Bacteria
Description: bacterial SSU rRNA
Rfam family: Bacterial small subunit ribosomal RNA
Source: RNAcentral